ACAAACUUUGUCCUCUAUCAGUGGGACACAGCAACUUCCUGCUGGCUUAUCUGCACGGGGAAUGAGGAGCUACUUCCCUCCAGGAUGCAUACUCUCUGACACAGAAUCACUGCUGACGUGAUGUACUAAUCUCCUAGUGGCUGCAAAUGGAACACAACCAUCCUUAUAAUCCACAGAAGAGGGAAAGGCGGCAUGAACCAUUUCUUCAAAAAUAUAAACAGUAUACAAUAUGGAUUCUAUGUAUUUUUUUUUUUCUUUAAACGUACAUAGCAUUUUGUUUGUAUAUGCCCCAGCAGGUACACCAAGACUCUCUCAAUACAAUCUGCAAAGCCCACUAAAGCGGAAAAAUACGAAAGAGAGCCAGCACAGCCAGGACACAAACCACACUGGCAAGAGAUGCGGAUGCUGGCGAUGCAGGAACUUCAUCAUCGCACCGCACUCCACUAAGACGACAUUCGCAGGGGUCUGCCAGUCUACAGAAGAUGGGUAGUAAGAGACACUGUCUUGAGGCGGUAACUACACCCGCAUCCUCACCACCACAACGGCGCAUCUCCGCUGUUUUGGCUCAGCCACCAGAAGCCAUUUUGGCCAGUCCACAAAGCGAGGAACCACAAUCCCUCAGCUGUCUGAUCCAGGCAUCAUGCCCCAGGAUACCCAGAAGGAAACUGACUUGCAGUAAACUUUCACACUACACCUGCAAGCAGUUGAUACGAACCAGCCAACCACGCCGGCUGACAUUACUCCACCACCCCAAACAACCCCCACCCAACAAUUGAGCCCAACACCACCCCAGCCAGAAAUGGGACAAGACUUUUGGUCCAGUUGGGCCACACAACAGGCCCAACACUAUGCCUGUCUGCAAAACCACAGCCAAUAUCUUGCCAGUCUGCCACAUCAUCUACCUAGACUGAGUAGAAACUCAGGCAGAAUGAUUGUACAACUUGGCAGAGUGGCCAAUACCAUGGAGCAAAUGAGAGCAGACAACAGCCAACUGAUAGGAAGCUUUCAACGCAUCAUGGACGAACCAAACCGCCAUCAACAAGCCCUCAUUCAACUAAUUCAGAACAAUCAGCUAAUCACAGAAAGCCUGUCCAGAAUAAUCGCCAACAACACAGCCGCAACAACACAACUGACAGCAAGCCUCAACAACCUGAGCCAAAACAUAAAUUUGUUGGCAGCCCAGCAACAAGGCUCAAGCUCAGGGACAACCACACCUAGCCAGACCCCAGUUACCUCCCCAGUUAGACGAUCAAGCAGAACACGGCCCAAUGUGCCAACAGAAUCCUCUGCAGACACCAAAAAAACAACAAGGAAAUGAGCAAGCCAGCAAAAAAACAUAAAGUAUUGUCAAAUAAAAAUAACGUUUAUAGAAUUGUGGCCAACAAAAUUAUAGUGUUUAAGAUAAUAAAUUACUCAAAUGCUA
Pseudophryne corroboree (corroboree frog) is the source of this 1423-nucleotide long non-coding RNA. RefSeq lists it as uncharacterized. The record is from RefSeq and is a predicted model, not a curated record. Lineage: Eukaryota; Metazoa; Chordata; Amphibia; Anura; Myobatrachidae. The transcript has 6 exons.